AGAGUUUGAUCAUGGCUCAGAGUGAACGCUGGCGGCAGGCCUAAUACAUGCAAGUCGAACGGCAGCACAGCAGAGCUUGCUCUGUGGGUGGCGAGUGGCGGACGGGUGAGGAAUACGUGGGAAUCUGCCCAGUCGUGGGGGAUAACGUAGGGAAACUUACGCUAAUACCGCAUGCGCCCUUCGGGGAAAGCCGGGGACCUUCGGGCCUGGCGCGAUUGGAUGAGCCCACGUCGGAUUAGCUAGUUGGCGGGGUAAAGGCCCACCAAGGCGACGAUCCGUAGCUGGUCUGAGAGGAUGAUCAGCCACACUGGAACUGAGACACGGUCCAGACUCCUACGGGAGGCAGCAGUAGGGGAAUAUUGGACAAUGGGCGCAAGCCUGAUCCAGCCAUGCCGCGUGAGUGAAGAAGGCCCUCGGGUUGUAAAGCUCUUUUGUCCGGAAAGAAAAGCGCCGGGUUAAUACCCUGGUGUCCUGACGGUACCGGAAGAAUAAGCACCGGCUAACUUCGUG
RNAcentral lists this ribosomal RNA (510 nucleotides) under uncultured bacterium. Its description in RNAcentral is "bacterial SSU rRNA". It matches the Rfam family "Bacterial small subunit ribosomal RNA", at positions 8 to 507 of the family's 1533-position model. The record is from RNAcentral.